GACGAACGCUGGCGGCGUGCUUAACACAUGCAAGUCGAACGGAAAGGCCCUGCUUUUGUGGGGUGCUCGAGUGGCGAACGGGUGAGUAACACGUGAGUAACCUGCCCUUGACUUUGGGAUAACUUCAGGAAACUGGGGCUAAUACCGGAUAGGAGCUCCUGCUGCAUGGUGGGGGUUGGAAAGUUUCGGCGGUUGGGGAUGGACUCGCGGCUUAUCAGCUUGUUGGUGGGGUAGUGGCUUACCAAGGCUUUGACGGGUAGCCGGCCUGAGAGGGUGACCGGCCACAUGGGGCCUGAGAUACGGCCCAGACUCGUACGGGAGGAAGAAGGGGGGAAUAUGGCACAAGGGGCGGAAGCCUGAGGCAGCAACGCCGCGUGGGGGAUGACGGCCUUCGGGUUGUAAACCGCUUUCGCCUGUGACGAAGCGUGAGUGACGGUAAUGGGUAAGAAGCACCGGCUAACUACGUG
This 467-nucleotide ribosomal RNA is filed under the name uncultured bacterium. RNAcentral's name for it is "partial 16S ribosomal RNA". It matches the Rfam family "Bacterial small subunit ribosomal RNA", at positions 28 to 507 of the family's 1533-position model. The record is from RNAcentral.